Molecule: ribosomal RNA, 821 nt
Filed under: Salmonella enterica subsp. enterica serovar Paratyphi B var. L(+) tartrate +
Lineage: Bacteria; Pseudomonadati; Pseudomonadota; Gammaproteobacteria; Enterobacterales; Enterobacteriaceae
Description: partial 23S ribosomal RNA
Rfam family: Bacterial large subunit ribosomal RNA
Source: RNAcentral
GGGACACGUGGUAUCCUGUCUGAAUAUGGGGGGACCAUCCUCCAAGGCUAAAUACUCCUGACUGACCGAUAGUGAACCAGUACCGUGAGGGAAAGGCGAAAAGAACCCCGGCGAGGGGAGUGAAAAAGAACCUGAAACCGUGUACGUACAAGCAGUGGGAGCACAGGUUUACCUGUGUGACUGCGUACCUUUUGUAUAAUGGGUCAGCGACUUAUAUUCUGUAGCAAGGUUAACCGUAUAGGGGAGCCGGAGGGAAACCGAGUCUUAAUUGGGCGUUAAGUUGCAGGGUAUAGACCCGAAACCCGGUGAUCUAGCCAUGGGCAGGUUGAAGGUUGGGUAACACUAACUGGAGGACCGAACCGACUAAUGUUGAAAAAUUAGCGGAUGACCUGUGGCUGGGGGUGAAAGGCCAAUCAAACCGGGAGAUAGCUGGUUCUCCCCGAAAGCUAUUUAGGUAGCGCCUCGUGAAUUCAUCUCCGGGGGUAGAGCACUGUUUCGGCUAGGGGGCCAUCCCGGCUUACCAACCCGAUGCAAACUGCGAAUACCGGAGAAUGUUAUCACGGGAGACACACGGCGGGUGCUAACGUCCGUCGUGAAGAGGGAAACAACCCAGACCGCCAGCUAAGGUCCCAAAGUCAUGGUUAAGUGGGAAACGAUGUGGGAAGGCCCAGACAGCCAGGAUGUUGGCUUAGAAGCAGCCAUCAUUUAAAGAAAGCGUAAUAGCUCACUGGUCGAGUCGGCCUGCGCGGAAGAUGUAACGGGGCUAAACCAUGCACCGAAGCUGCGGCAGCGACGCUUAUGCGUUGUUGGGUAGGGGAGCG